AGAGUUUGAUCAUGGCUCAGGAUGAACGCUGACAGAAUGCUUAACACAUGCAAGUCUACUUGAUUUAUGGUUUCGGCCGUAAUGAUGGUGGCGGACGGGUGAGUAACGCGUAAAGAAUCUGCCCUUUAGACUGGGAUAACAGUUGUAAACGACUGCUAAUACCGGAUAUUAUGAAAUCAUCGCAUGAUGGUAUCAUGAAAGCUAUAUGCGCUAGAGGAGGACUUUGCGUCCCAUUAGCUAGUUGGUGAGGUAACGGCUCACCAAGGCGACGAUGGGUAGCCGGCCUGAGAGGGUGAUCGGCCACAAGGGAACUGAGACACGGUCCUUACUCCUACGGGAGGCAGCAGUGGGGAAUAUUGGACAAUGGACCAAAAGUCUGAUCCAGCAAUUCUGUGUGCACGAUGAAGGUCUUCGGAUUGUAAAGUGCUUUCAGUAGGGAAGAAUAAAUGACGGUACCUACAGAAGAAGCGACGGCUAAAUAUGUGCCAGCAGCCGCGGUAAUACAUAUGUCGCAAGCGUUAUCCGGAUUUAUUGGGCGUAAAGCGCGUCUAGGCGGUUUACCAAGUCUGAUGUGAAAAUGCGGGGCUCAACUCCGUAUUGCGUUGGAAACUGGUAGACUAGAGUACUGGAGAGGUGGGCGGAACUACAAGUGUAGAGGUGGAAUUCGUAGAUAUUUGUAGGAAUGCCGAUGGAGAAGUCAGCUCACUGGACAGAUACUGACGCUAAAGCGCGAAAGCGUGGGGAGCAAACAGGAUUAGAUACCCUGGUAGUCCACGCCGUAAACGAUGAUCACUAGGUGUUGGGAGUCAAAUCUCAGCGCCCAAGCUAACGCGAUAAGUGAUCCGCCUGGGGAGUACGUACGCAAGUAUGAAACUCAAAUGAAUUGACGG
RNAcentral lists this ribosomal RNA (890 nucleotides) under uncultured bacterium. Its description in RNAcentral is "bacterial SSU rRNA". It matches the Rfam family "Bacterial small subunit ribosomal RNA", at positions 8 to 916 of the family's 1533-position model. The record is from RNAcentral.